RNAcentral lists this ribosomal RNA (513 nucleotides) under uncultured bacterium. Its description in RNAcentral is "bacterial SSU rRNA". It matches the Rfam family "Bacterial small subunit ribosomal RNA", at positions 37 to 537 of the family's 1533-position model. The record is from RNAcentral.
GACGAACGCUGGCGGCGUGCCUAACACAUGCAAGUCGAACGGACCGAAGCGAAAAGCUUGCUUUACGCGGAGGUUAGUGGCGGACGGGUGAGUAACACGUGGAUAAUCUGCCUAUGACACCGGGAUAACACUGUGAAAACGGUGCUAAUACCGGAUACGUUUAUCUGGCCGCAUGGCAAGAUAAAGAAAGGAGCAAUCCGGUCAUAGAUGAGUCCGCGUCUGAUUAGCUAGUUGGCAGGGUAAAGGCCUACCAAGGCGACGAUCAGUAGCCGGCCUGAGAGGGUGACCGGCCACACUGGGACUGAGACACGGCCCAGACUCCUACGGGAGGCAGCAGUGGGGAAUCUUCCGCAAUGGGCGAAAAGCCUGACGGAGCAACGCCGCGUGGGUGAAGAAGGCCUUCGGGUUGUAAGACCUGUCUUAUGGACGAGGAGGAGACGGUACCGAUAGGAGGAAGCCGACGGCUAACUACGUGCCAGCAGCCGCGGUAAACGUACGUACUACUAUCUAGAC